Lactuca sativa (garden lettuce) is the source of this 577-nucleotide non-coding RNA. NCBI's taxonomy places the organism in Eukaryota, Viridiplantae, Streptophyta, Magnoliopsida, Asterales, Asteraceae. The record is from RefSeq and is a predicted model, not a curated record.
UUUCUGUGGUCGUUUAUAUCUCUCAGGGGCUUCACAUCCAAAAAAGAGGAAUACGAUCUCAUCCAACAAGAAAGGAAUUCGAUUCCACCAAAAAUCAACAACCAGUGUGAGAAAUUUCGAUUUUUGGUUCAAUUGCUCGGUUUCCAUCGACGAAUCAAAAUUCGAUUUCUGAAAUUUCGAUUUGAUUUCUCCACAGAAAUCCAUCGACAAAUCAAAAUCGAUUUCUGUCAAAAACUACCGUCAAUUACUGCCACCAAACAUCAACAACCUGUGUUAGAAGUUUCGGUAUGUGGUUCGUUCAUUCAAUUUUCUUAGGAUUUUGGUUUAAUUAAUCCUCUUUCUAACCUUAUGUCUUUUUGAGUGAUGUCUCCGAAUUUCUGUGUGACUAUCCACAUCCCGUCCAAGAAUUGGGAGAUACAAACGACCACAGAAAGGGUUGUAUGAAUUGAGAAACUGAUAUUCGUUGUUUUUUGUGGAAUAAGAUAUUAAGAUUUUGUUAAAGUAGAAGGUUUAAAUAGUAUUUUUGUCCAAACUGACGUGGUGACAAUGUAAAGUCUAGAAGUUUACUGUUUCGAGA